RNAcentral lists this long non-coding RNA (357 nucleotides) under Coturnix japonica (Japanese quail). Its description in RNAcentral is "lncRNA (ENSCJPG00005002342.1)". Lineage: Eukaryota; Metazoa; Chordata; Aves; Galliformes; Phasianidae. The record is from RNAcentral.
AGGGCGAUUUUGGGGUCAAUGGGAUUUGGGGUGAAAAAGGGGAUUUUGGGUGGGGGUUUUGGGGUCAAAAAGUGGGAUUUUGGGGUCAAUGGGAUUUUGGGGUGAAAAUGGGGGAUUUUGGGGUCAAGAAUGGGGAGAUUUGGGGUGAAAAAGGGGGAUUUUGGGGUCAGAAAUGGGGAUUUUUGAGGGGGAUUUUGGGUUGAAAAAGGGGGAUUUUGGGGUCAAUGGGAUUUUGGGGUCAAUGGGAUUUUGGGGUCAAAAAGGGCCAUUUUGGGGUCAAAAAGGGGAAUUUGUGGUCAAAAAGGGCGAUUUUGGGUUGAAAAAGGUGGAUUUUGGGGUCAAUGGGAUUUUGGGUUG